GUGGGGAAUUUUGGACAAUGGGCGCAAGCCUGAUCCAGCAAUGCCGCGUGCAGGAAGAAGGCCUUCGGGUUGUAAACUGCUUUUGUACGGAACGAAACGGUCCGGGUUAAUACCCUGGGCUAAUGACGGUACCGUAAGAAUAAGCACCGGCUAACUACGUGCCAGCAGCCGCGGUAAUACGUAGGGUGCAAGCGUUAAUCGGAAUUACUGGGCGUAAAGCGUGCGCAGGCGGUUUUGUAAGACAGGCGUGAAAUCCCCGGGCUCAACCUGGGAAUUGCGCUUGUGACUGCAAGGCUGGAGUGCGGCAGAGGGGGAUGGAAUUCCGCGUGUAGCAGUGAAAUGCGUAGAUAUGCGGAGGAACACCGAUGGCGAAGGCAAUCCCCUGGACCUGUACUGACGCUCAUGCACGAAAGCGUGGGGAGCAAACAGGAUUAGAAACCCGGGUAGUCC
This 450-nucleotide ribosomal RNA is filed under the name uncultured bacterium. Its description in RNAcentral is "partial 16S ribosomal RNA". It matches the Rfam family "Bacterial small subunit ribosomal RNA", at positions 354 to 796 of the family's 1533-position model. The record is from RNAcentral.